RNAcentral lists this ribosomal RNA (305 nucleotides) under uncultured bacterium. Its description in RNAcentral is "bacterial SSU rRNA". It matches the Rfam family "Bacterial small subunit ribosomal RNA", at positions 335 to 654 of the family's 1533-position model. The record is from RNAcentral.
AGUCCUACGGGGCGCAGCAGUGGGGAAUAUUGGGCAAUGGGCGCAAGCCUGACCCAGCAACGCCGCGUGAAGGAAGAAGGCUUUCGGGUUGUAAACUUCUUUUAAGAGGGACGAAGGAAGUGACGGUACCUCUUGAAUAAGCCACGGCUAACUACGUGCCAGCAGCCGCGGUAAUACGUAGGUGGCAAGCGUUAUCCGGAUUUAUUGGGUGUAAAGGGCGUGUAGGCGGGAGCGCAAGUCAGAUGUGAAAACUCAGGUCUCAACCCUGAGCCUGCAUUUGAAACUGUGUUUCUUGAUUGCUGGAG